AGGACGAACGGCUGGCGGCGUGCCUAAUACAUGCAAGUCGAACGGUCUUUCUAUGGAAGCUUGCUUCCACUGAGAAGAUAGUGGCGAACGGGUGAGUAACACGUGGGGUAACCUGCCCAUAAGAGGGGGAUAACAUCCGGAAACGGGUGCUAAUACCGCAUAGUUUUCUUGAUCGCAUGAUUGAGAAAGGAAAGACGGCCUUUGUGCUGUCGCUUAUGGAUGGACCCGCGGCGUAUUAGUUAGUUGGUGAGGUAACGGCUCACCAAGACGAUGAUACGUAGCCGACCUGAGAGGGUGAUCGGCCACAUUGGGACUGAGACACGGCCCAAACUCCUACGGGAGGCAGCAGUAGGGAAUCUUCCGCAAUGGACGAAAGUCUGACGGAGCAACGCCGCGUGAGUGAAAGAAGGUUUUCGGAUCGUAAAACUCUGUUGUCAGAGAAGAACAAGUUGGAGAGUAACUGCUCCAGCCUUGACGGUAUCUGACCAGAAAGCCACGGCUAACUACGUGCCAGCCGCGGC
RNAcentral lists this ribosomal RNA (521 nucleotides) under uncultured bacterium. Its description in RNAcentral is "bacterial SSU rRNA". It matches the Rfam family "Bacterial small subunit ribosomal RNA", at positions 26 to 518 of the family's 1533-position model. The record is from RNAcentral.